RNAcentral lists this microRNA precursor (75 nucleotides) under Myotis lucifugus (little brown bat). Its description in RNAcentral is "mir-9229 microRNA precursor family". It matches the Rfam family "mir-9229 microRNA precursor family". Lineage: Eukaryota; Metazoa; Chordata; Mammalia; Chiroptera; Vespertilionidae. The record is from Rfam by way of RNAcentral.
GAGACACCCCUAUGGAGCAGGAUUUGCUUCAGUGGGCUUUGGUGAUCACUGAGUCUGCCCCUUGAGUGUGUCACU